Molecule: unclassified non-coding RNA, 18 nt
Filed under: Mus musculus (house mouse)
Lineage: Eukaryota; Metazoa; Chordata; Mammalia; Rodentia; Muridae
Description: oocyte_clustered_small_RNA6535
Source: RNAcentral
UUCUAGUAUUCCCAUGGA